GCUGGUUUGGUCCAGUGGUUAGAAGCGUUAGCUUCAAUCCUAGCAGUGAGGGAUCGAAUCCCACCGCCUGCA
RNAcentral lists this transfer RNA (72 nucleotides) under Oryza sativa Indica Group (long-grained rice). RNAcentral describes it as "tRNA-OTHER". Lineage: Eukaryota; Viridiplantae; Streptophyta; Magnoliopsida; Poales; Poaceae. The record is from RNAcentral.